RNAcentral lists this ribosomal RNA (2351 nucleotides) under Escherichia coli. Its description in RNAcentral is "partial 23S ribosomal RNA". It matches the Rfam family "Bacterial large subunit ribosomal RNA", at positions 612 to 2925 of the family's 2925-position model. The record is from RNAcentral. Lineage: Bacteria; Pseudomonadati; Pseudomonadota; Gammaproteobacteria; Enterobacterales; Enterobacteriaceae.
AUAAUGGGUCAGCGACUUAUAUUCUGUAGCAAGGUUAACCGAAUAGGGGAGCCGAAGGGAAACCGAGUCUUAACUGGGCGUUAAGUUGCAGGGUAUAGACCCGAAACCCGGUGAUCUAGCCAUGGGCAGGUUGAAGGUUGGGUAACACUAACUGGAGGACCGAACCGACUAAUGUUGAAAAAUUAGCGGAUGACUUGUGGCUGGGGGUGAAAGGCCAAUCAAACCGGGAGAUAGCUGGUUCUCCCCGAAAGCUAUUUAGGUAGCGCCUCGUGAAUUCAUCUCCGGGGGUAGAGCACUGUUUCGGCAAGGGGGUCAUCCCGACUUACCAACCCGAUGCAAACUGCGAAUACCGGAGAAUGUUAUCACGGGAGACACACGGCGGGUGCUAACGUCCGUCGUGAAGAGGGAAACAACCCAGACCGCCAGCUAAGGUCCCAAAGUCAUGGUUAAGUGGGAAACGAUGUGGGAAGGCCCAGACAGCCAGGAUGUUGGCUUAGAAGCAGCCAUCAUUUAAAGAAAGCGUAAUAGCUCACUGGUCGAGUCGGCCUGCGCGGAAGAUGUAACGGGGCUAAACCAUGCACCGAAGCUGCGGCAGCGACGCUGAUGCGUUGUUGGGUAGGGGAGCGUUCUGUAAGCCUGUGAAGGUGUGCUGUGAGGCAUGCUGGAGGUAUCAGAAGUGCGAAUGCUGACAUAAGUAACGAUAAAGCGGGUGAAAAGCCCGCUCGCCGGAAGACCAAGGGUUCCUGUCCAACGUUAAUCGGGGCAGGGUGAGUCGACCCCUAAGGCGAGGCCGAAAGGCGUAGUCGAUGGGAAACAGGUUAAUAUUCCUGUACUUGGUGUUACUGCGAAGGGGGGACGGAGAAGGCUAUGUUGGCCGGGCGACGGUUGUCCCGGUUUAAGCGUGUAGGCUGGUUUUCCAGGCAAAUCCGGAAAAUCAAGGCUGAGGCGUGAUGACGAGGCACUACGGUGCUGAAGCAACAAAUGCCCUGCUUCCAGGAAAAGCCUCUAAGCAUCAGGUAACAUCAAAUCGUACCCCAAACCGACACAGGUGGUCAGGUAGAGAAUACCAAGGCGCUUGAGAGAACUCGGGUGAAGGAACUAGGCAAAAUGGUGCCGUAACUUCGGGAGAAGGCACGCUGAUAUGUAGGUGAAGUCCCUCGCGGAUGGAGCUGAAAUCAGUCGAAGAUACCAGCUGGCUGCAACUGUUUAUUAAAAACACAGCACUGUGCAAACACGAAAGUGGACGUAUACGGUGUGACGCCUGCCCGGUGCCGGAAGGUUAAUUGAUGGGGUCAGCGCAAGCGAAGCUCUUGAUCGAAGCCCCGGUAAACGGCGGCCGUAACUAUAACGGUCCUAAGGUAGCGAAAUUCCUUGUCGGGUAAGUUCCGACCUGCACGAAUGGCGUAAUGAUGGCCAGGCUGUCUCCACCCGAGACUCAGUGAAAUUGAACUCGCUGUGAAGAUGCAGUGUACCCGCGGCAAGACGGAAAGACCCCGUGAACCUUUACUAUAGCUUGACACUGAACAUUGAGCCUUGAUGUGUAGGAUAGGUGGGAGGCUUUGAAGUGUGGACGCCAGUCUGCAUGGAGCCGGCCUUGAAAUACCACCCUUUAAUGUUUGAUGUUCUAACGUUGACCCGUUAUCCGGGUUGCGGACAGUGUCUGGUGGGUAGUUUGACUGGGGCGGUCUCCUCCUAAAGAGUAACGGAGGAGCACGAAGGUUGGCUAAUCCUGGUCGGACAUCAGGAGGUUAGUGCAAUGGCAUAAGCCAGCUUGACUGCGAGCGUGACGGCGCGAGCAGGUGCGAAAGCAGGUCAUAGUGAUCCGGUGGUUCUGAAUGGAAGGGCCAUCGCUCAACGGAUAAAAGGUACUCCGGGGAUAACAGGCUGAUACCGCCCAAGAGUUCAUAUCGACGGCGGUGUUUGGCACCUCGAUGUCGGCUCAUCACAUCCUGGGGCUGAAGUAGGUCCCAAGGGUAUGGCUGUUCGCCAUUUAAAGUGGUACGCGAGCUGGGUUUAGAACGUCGUGAGACAGUUCGGUCCCUAUCUGCCGUGGGCGCUGGAGAACUGAGGGGGGCUGCUCCUAGUACGAGAGGACCGGAGUGGACGCAUCACUGGUGUUCGGGUUGUCAUGCCAAUGGCACUGCCCGGUAGCUAAAUGCGGAAGAGAUAAGUGCUGAAAGCAUCUAAGCACGAAACUUGCCCCGAGAUGAGUUCUCCCUGACUCCUUGAGAGUCCUGAAGGAACGUUGAAGACGACGACGUUGAUAGGCCGGGUGUGUAAGCGCAGCGAUGCGUUGAGCUAACCGGUACUAAUGAACCGUGAGGCUUAACCUUACAACGCCGAAGGUGUUU